Molecule: ribosomal RNA, 187 nt
Filed under: uncultured rumen bacterium
Lineage: Bacteria
Description: partial 16S ribosomal RNA
Rfam family: Bacterial small subunit ribosomal RNA
Source: RNAcentral
UACGGGAGGCAGCAGUGAGGAAUAUUGGUCAAUGGGCGCGAGCCUGAACCAGCCAAGUAGCGUGCAGGAUGACGGCCCUAUGGGUUGUAAACUGCUUUUAUGCGGGGAUAAAGUGCGGCACGUGUGCCGUUUUGUAGGUACCGCAUGAAUAAGGACCGGCUAAUUCCGUGCCAGCAGCCGCGGUAAU